Molecule: long non-coding RNA, 297 nt
Filed under: Homo sapiens (human)
Lineage: Eukaryota; Metazoa; Chordata; Mammalia; Primates; Hominidae
Description: HSALNT0354439
Source: RNAcentral
AGGCGCACAGGGCGCGGCUACAGCAACUACUUCCUUCGCAACCCGUUGGUAGGGAGAAGGACGCCUCAGCCACUAGGCUGCUUCCGGUGUGUCACUGAACACCUUCCCCGUACCAGCAGCUGGAGGAUUUGUUUGGUAGCACCUGGGGGAUGGCUCUGUCCCGGGCGCACUUAGGCGGGCUGUGCGGAGCGCUUUACCUUCCACAGUGUCCGGCACACGCAUCCUUUUCGACAUCAUCACUUGACCUGCUGCAAUAGACAAGUCUUGCUGUGUUGCCCAGGCCGGAGUGCAGUGGUG